Molecule: long non-coding RNA, 2648 nt
Filed under: Paramuricea clavata
Lineage: Eukaryota; Metazoa; Cnidaria; Anthozoa; Malacalcyonacea; Plexauridae
Source: RNAcentral
UUGCAAAGUACAGAAAAGCAAACAAGAACAAGAACUUAUUUGAGGACUAUGUUUUGAGGCCGGUUUUAAACUUAACUUUAAAUGUCAAUUAUGGUUAUUACCUAUGGUUUAGCCCAUCAAGUGCAGCGCUCUGACGAGUAAAAUCGUCUGGCGUUAGACAGAGUAAACUAUAGUACAAUAAUAAAGUAAGGCGCAUCAGGGCGCAAUGUGAUUCAAUUGGUUAACUAGACACAUAUAUAGGAAUAUAGGCUAGUUAACCCAUUCGGAGCCAGCAUUUCUCCUUGACAUUCAAGUACAAUUGUCUGGAGUUAGACAGAGUAAAAUAGUCUGGCAUUAGACAAAGUAAAAUAGUUAGACAGAGUACUUAAAAUAAUAAAGUAGGACGCAUCAUAUGGCAUUGCAUUGAGGUAGAACGAUUAAUUUGGCACAACAGGUGAAAACUAUAAUUAUAACCAAUUUCUCAUAUUAAUUUUUAUAUUUGCAAUAUUAAUUAGUAUUUAUUAAUAUUUAUAUCUAUUUUUUGCAUUAAAAAAUUAAGAGUGAUGAACAACAUUGUCUGUCAUUUACUAUUAUUUCAUCUAGAUUCUAGAAUUUCUGCAGGAAUACCAAAAAUCUUAUAGGAAAUUAGAAUAAAUUAUUUUCUUAUAGGAAAUUCCUAUAAUAAUUUGGGACUAGACUUGAGAAUUCUUAUAGGAAUUCUUCCUAUUAAAUUCUUAUAGGAAUUCCUGUAGAAAAAAUUCCUAUAGGAAAAAUUCCUAUAAGAAUUUGGGACAAAAUUCCUAUAGGAAUUUUUCCUAUAGGAAUUUUUCCUAUAGGAAUUUUUCCUAUAGGAAUUUUUCCUAUAGGAAUUCCUAUAGGAAAAAUUCCUAUAGGAAUUUUGUCCCAAAUUCUUAUAGGAAUUUUUCCUAUAGGAAUUCCUAUAGGAAAUUUUCGUAAGGGCUGGAGACUGUCUUUUUUUGUUUUACACUAUCUGUGUACUGCCAGACGAUUUUAAGGGGAGACUGCUCACUGCCGUCACUCAGUGGGUUAAAUAUACUAUCUGCCAAUGAGCAUGCAGCCCCUGAGAUAUAGUCAGCCCAUUAAGCAGCAAUGUGCCCAAAUGAACCCAGGCAUUCUUAUUUUACUCAAAGGGAAGAGUCUUGGGGUAGAAAAUAGAUACUCACUUUGCCAUUGUCUGUUCAGAACCACAUACACAGUAUGAUGUGAUAGUUACAUGGCAAUUAGAAAAAAAAUAUUGCCCACAAGCUGUUGGGAUAAGUGAUCACUAUUGAUGCACUAUAUAACUAAUUAAUUCAGAAUAUGCUACGUACAACAUUUUUAACAUUGGAAGAGGUGAUGUCUGAUUGGUCUGUGAGAAACUAUGAUGAAAUUUGCUAAUAAUAGAAUUCCAUUCCUGAAUAUGGAAACAUGACACUUCAUUUUGAAGCUUGGGAUCAUUAUGGUUUUGGUAAAAACAGAUAUAUUGCACCAUAGUGGCAGCAUGCUCUCCCCUUGACUAGUAAAAUUGUCUGACAUUAGCCUGUAAAAUAAUACAGUAAUACUACUAAUACAGUAAGACACAUUGCCACUUGAAGGGUUAAUAUAUGUGUAUUUAUUAUAUAGUAGAGAGCGAGAUACUGAAAAACACACAUUGAAAUAUUUUCCAUAUCUUCACUAGUGCAUGAAGAUAUCGAUCACAUGACUUUUCCCAAUUUCACAAUUUUUUGCUUGGGACUAUAUAAUAAACAGAACAUUACAUGGUGGUUUGAAGAUAUGACUUUUGUCUUCUCGUGUUAAAAACAAUAUUUUACUAACUUGCUGUGCUCGUUCGUAAAAUAUUGUUUUCACCACUCGAAGAUAAAAAUCAUAUCUUCACGCUGCUGUGUAAUAUCCUCUAUAUACAUGCAUAUGAUAUUUUUCAUUUUCAUGGUGUAUAAAGAUGUAUAUAAAUGUAUCAUGAUAAUAAUGUCAUCUUUUAUUUUGCAGAAAUUAUCUGUUUAAUGCAACACAAGAGAUGGCACAGGCAUCAACAUGCAGAACAUCAAAAUGAAGUUAUAAUUAUAAUACCAUAACAACAUAAUAUAUAAUUAUAUGAUUAUAAUAACUUUAUUGAAGUGUAAAUUUUUACAACAGAGCACAAUCAUGCUCCACUAAAUUAGGAAGAAUUAAAAUUAUACAUUUUUUAAUUGUUUACUGCUAGUUAAUAGAGGCUACAAAAAAGUCAAAUACUGUACAUCCUUCCAGAAAGUAUGCCACUUUGACUAUGAAGCCUCGUUUUUGUGUAUUUGACAUGUCUCAAUCAUGAAAAUGAGACUCUACAGCCUAUAACCAAGAUGAUAUACUUUCUGGAAGCAUGUAUUCAUUAAAAUACAGUUGUUUAAAUUAAAAUUAAUAAAGCUUUAAUUGUAUGUUCAGUUCAGGCACAGAUUUUCUGGGGAGGUGCACCGCCCCCCCCCCCCAAGAGGCAUUUGGCAACGCCCCUAAAAGUUUUUGCACCCCCGCAAAUUAUAUAUAUUUUGAUUUGAUAGUUUCAUAUUUGAUUAUUCUUACUACUAAAUUUGUAAAAUUACCAACAUUAUGGUCUCAGAUCUUGCCAUGCAGGGGCCAGUUGUUCAAUGCUGGGUUAGUUAAAACCCUGGGUUAACAAAAUUCAAAGCAAACUUCCUGAC